This 465-nucleotide ribosomal RNA is filed under the name uncultured bacterium. RNAcentral's name for it is "bacterial SSU rRNA". It matches the Rfam family "Bacterial small subunit ribosomal RNA", at positions 926 to 1391 of the family's 1533-position model. The record is from RNAcentral.
CAAGCGGUGGAACAUGUGGUUCAAUUCGACGCAACGCGAAGAACCUUACCUGGGCUUGAACCGCUACGGACCAACGAUAAAAAUAUUGUCUUCCCGCAAGGGACCGUAGUAGAGGUGCUGCAUGGCUGUCGUCAGCUCGUGCCGUGAGGUGUUGGGUUAAGUCCCGCAACGAGCGCAACCCUUACUCGUAGUUGCUACCCGCAAGGGAGAACUCUACGAGGACUGCUCCGGAUAACGGAGAGGAAGGUGGGGAUGACGUCAAGUCAGCACGGCCUUUAUGUCCAGGGCUACACACGUGUUACAAUGCAUGGUACAGACUGUUGCGAACCCGCGAGGGGGAGCUAAUCGGCCAAAGCCAUGCUCAGUUCGGAUUGCAGUCUGCAACUCGACUGCAUGAAGCUGGAAUCGCUAGUAAUGGCGCAUCAGAUCGGCGCCGUGAAUACGUUCCCGGGCCUUGUACACACC